AGAAAGUUGGACAAGAUGAGAAGAAACUUCUUGUGGAAUGCCGAUGAGGAGGCUCACGGUGGGAAGUGCCUGGUAAACUGGAGACGCAUUUGUGCGCCAAAGUCUGUUGGUGGACUAGGCAUCAAAGACCUUGCCGCUUUCAGCAGAGCACUGAGACUGAGAUGGGCUUGGUUUGAGUGGGAUAACCAUGAUAGACCAUGGAAAGGGACACCGACUCCAUGUGAUAGUUCUGAUAUGCAACUCUUCAAAUCUUGCACAAAAAUAUCCAUCGGCGACGGCUCACGGGCCUUUUUUUGGACUGAUCGAUGGAUGGAUGGAGUUGCUCCGAGGGAGGUGGUGCCCCAGCUGUUUUCCCUCGCCCGUCAUAAGCAGACCACGGUUGCUGAUGCUCUUCAGGAAGGAAAAUGGAUGAUGGGACUGCAGCGAUUGAACUCAGCCGAGAUGCUUUACUCCUUCGUCCUCCUUUGGCACCAAGUCUAG
Molecule: ribosomal RNA, 480 nt
Filed under: Triticum aestivum (bread wheat)
Lineage: Eukaryota; Viridiplantae; Streptophyta; Magnoliopsida; Poales; Poaceae
Description: partial small subunit ribosomal RNA
Source: RNAcentral